AGAGUUUGAUUAUGGCUCAGAACGAACGCUGGCGGCAGGCCUAACACAUGCAAGUCGAACGCUCCGCAAGGGGAGUGGCAGACGGGUGAGUAACACGUGGGAAUCUUCCUAUUGGUAUGGAAUAGCUCAGGGAAACUUGGGGUAAUACCGUAUAAGCCCGAGAGGGGAAAGAUUUAUCGCCAAUAGAUGAGCCCGCGUCUGAUUAGCUAGUUGGUGAGGUAAUGGCUCACCAAGGCGACGAUCAGUAGCUGGUCUGAGAGGAUGAUCAGCCACACUGGGACUGAGACACGGCCCAGACUCCUACGGGAGGCAGCAGUGGGGAAUAUUGGACAAUGGGCGCAAGCCUGAUCCAGCCAUGCCGCGUGAGUGACGAAGGUCUUCGGAUUGUAAAGCUCUUUUGGCGGGGACGAUAAUGACGGUACCCGCAGAAUAAGCCCCGGCUAACUUCGUGCCAGCAGCCGCGGUAAUUAGUAAUUAAU
Molecule: ribosomal RNA, 479 nt
Filed under: uncultured Gammaproteobacteria bacterium
Lineage: Bacteria; Pseudomonadati; Pseudomonadota; Gammaproteobacteria
Description: bacterial SSU rRNA
Rfam family: Bacterial small subunit ribosomal RNA
Source: RNAcentral